ACCUUCUCCAGACCAGUAACACAGCACAGUCUCCUUGCUGACUGCAGCUGGAUCCAGAGGACCUCCUUCUCAGUUGUGCGAUCCAAAGCUGCUUCUGAAUGUUUCAUCUGGAAGAAGAGCAGCCUUCCCGAGGCUAGUUUGUUGAUGCCAGUCUGGACGUGCAUGUCUUGCCUCUGAGCAAGCUGGGGUGCUCCACGUGCAAGUCUGGACCUAUCUCUGACUGGAGCUCAAGCAAAUCAGACUGGAGAGUAGUAUCUCUUCCAUUUUGACAUGUGGGUCUUGUAAUCAUAAUUUCUUGUGUGCCACAGUGACCAUUUACAUUUUGCAAAAUGUCUCCCUACAGAAUUAAUUUUCAGCAUUGGGGAAAUAUGGGCAGCUUUUUAUAGUUUGAUAAUAAUUUAUCAGUCUCUCUCCUGCAGUCCUUUGCUGG
Molecule: long non-coding RNA, 430 nt
Organism: Nothoprocta perdicaria
Lineage: Eukaryota; Metazoa; Chordata; Aves; Tinamiformes; Tinamidae
Exons: 2
Source: RefSeq, a predicted model, not a curated record